GGAAGCCCGACAACAUAUCUACCGUAGGUUGCUGAAUGAGAUAAAGCAAGCCUAAAAUGGAAAGAAAAUAAUUGUGAGUUUAUACUCGUCGAUGAGCUCCAAUAUUAGUCUGUUACAAGUACAAUCACAAGGACACGAGCAGGAUGCUAUAAGCUAUCCAAUGACCCAGCCACAAAAACAGAAAAGAAAGAAAAAGUCAGCUGACAUUGCAAUUGAAUUGUUUAGUAUUGUUUAAUGCUUACCGCCUGAUUUACACCAAUAAGAGAUGAGCAAAAUAAGAACAAUAAGAAUUGCUUGAAUGAGGAUUCCAAUCAAUGGCCA
Long non-coding RNA from Exaiptasia diaphana, 321 nucleotides. RefSeq lists it as uncharacterized. The record is from RefSeq and is a predicted model, not a curated record. Lineage: Eukaryota; Metazoa; Cnidaria; Anthozoa; Actiniaria; Aiptasiidae. The transcript has 3 exons.